This 749-nucleotide ribosomal RNA is filed under the name Methanothrix soehngenii. RNAcentral's name for it is "bacterial SSU rRNA". It matches the Rfam family "Archaeal small subunit ribosomal RNA", at positions 110 to 860 of the family's 1478-position model. Lineage: Archaea; Methanobacteriati; Methanobacteriota; Methanomicrobia; Methanotrichales; Methanotrichaceae. The record is from RNAcentral.
GGCCCUUAGGUUGGGUAUAAACCCGGGAAACUGGGUAUAAUACCCGAUAGGUCUCGAUUGCUGGAAUGCAUCGAGAUUUAAAGCUCCGGCGCCUAAGGAUGGGUCUGCGGCCUAUCAGGUAGUAGUGGGUGUAGCGUACCUACUAGCCUACGACGGGUACGGGUUGUGAGAGCAAGAGCCCGGAGAUGGAUUCUGAGACACGAAUCCAGGCCCUACGGGGUGCAGCAGGCGCGAAAACUUUACAAUGCUGGCAACAGCGAUAAGGGAACCUCGAGUGCCAGGUUACAAAUCUGGCUGUCGAGAUGCCUAAAAAGCAUUACAUAGCAAGGGCCGGGCAAGACCGGUGCCAGCCGCCGCGGUAACACCGGCGGCUCGAGUGGUAACCGUUAUUAUUGGGUCUAAAGGGUCUGUAGCCGGCCGGAUAAGUCUCUUGAGAAAUCUGGCAGCUUAACUGUCAGGCUUUCAGGAGAUACUGUCUGGCUCGAGGCCGGGAGAGGUGAGAGGUACUUCAGGGGUAGGGGUGAAAUCUUGUAAUCCUUGAAGGACCACCAGUGGCGAAGGCGUCUCACCAGAACGGACCUGACGGCAAGGGACGAAAGCUAGGGGCACGAACCGGAUUAGAUACCCGGGUAGUCCUAGCCGUAAACGAUACUCGCUAGGUGUCGGCCACGGUGCGACCGUUGUCGGUGCCGUAGGGAAGCCGUGAAGCGAGCCACCUGGGAAGUACGGCCGCAAGGCUGAAACUUAAA